UGAAUACGAGACGCUAAGGCGUCGAAGUAGUGUAUGUCAUACUUCCAAGAAAAGCUUGCACUGUCAUAGAUAAAAAACGCCUGUACCAUAACCGACACAGGUGGGUAGGUAGAGUAUACUAAGGGGCGCGAGAUAACUCUCUCUAGGAACUCGGCAAAAUAACUCCGUCACUUCGGGAGAAGGAGUGCCUUAUUCGUAAGGUUGCAAUAACAAGAUCCAAGCAACUGUUUAUCAAAAACACAGGUCUCCGCUAAGUCGUAAGACGAUGUAUGGGGGCUGACGCCUGCCCAGUGCCAGAAGGUUAAAGAAGUUGGUUAGCAAUUGCGAAGCUGAUAACUGAAGCCCUGGUGAACGGCGGCCGUAACUAUAACGGUCCUAAGGUAGCGAAAUUCCUUGUCGGGUAAGUUCCGACCCGCACGAAAGGCGUAAUGAUUUGGAUACUGUCUCGGAGAGGGGCUCGGUGAAAUAGACUUGUCUGUGAAGAUGCGGACUACCUGCACCAGGACAGAAAGACCCUAUGAAGCUUUACUGUAACUUGAAAUUGAAAUUGGACUUUAUUCGCGCAGUAUAGGUGGGAGGCGUUGAUUAUAAUCUUGUGGGAUUAUUGGAGACAUCAGUGAGAUACCACUCUUGUAAUGUUAGAUUUCUAACUUUGAAUCAUUAUCUGGUCAAAGAACAGUUUCAGGCGGGCAGUCUGACUGGGGCGGUCGCCUCCUAAACGGUAACGGAGGCGUACAAAGGUUUCCUCUGAACGGUUAGAAAUCGUAUCUAGAGUGUAAAGGCAUAAGGAAGCUUGACUGUGAGACCUACAAGUCGAGCAGGGACGAAAGUCGGUCUUAGUGAUCUGACGGUACUGAGUGGAAAGGCCGUCACUCAACGGAUAAAAGUUACUCUAGGAUAACAGGCUGAUCUCCCCCAAGAGUUCACAUCGACGGGGAGGUUUGGCACCUCGAUGUCGGCUCAUCGCAUCCUGGGGCGGUAGUACGUCCCAAGGGUUGGGCUGUUCGCCCAUGAAAGCGGUACGCGAGCUGGGUUCAGAACGUCGUGAGACAGUUCGGUCCAUAUCCGGUGUAGGCGUUAGAAUAUUGAGAGGAGCCUUCUUUAGUACGAGAGGACCGAGAAGGACAUACCUCUGGUGUACCAGUUAUCGUGCCAACGGUAAACGCUGGGUAGCUAUGUAUGGAGUGGAUAACCGCUGAAAGCAUCUAAGUGGGAAGCCCACCUCAAGAUAAGUAUUCUCAU
This 1242-nucleotide ribosomal RNA is filed under the name metagenome. RNAcentral describes it as "bacterial LSU rRNA". It matches the Rfam family "Bacterial large subunit ribosomal RNA", at positions 1564 to 2817 of the family's 2925-position model. The record is from RNAcentral.